Molecule: ribosomal RNA, 468 nt
Filed under: uncultured bacterium
Lineage: Bacteria
Description: partial 16S ribosomal RNA
Rfam family: Bacterial small subunit ribosomal RNA
Source: RNAcentral
GACGAACGCUGGCGGCGUGCUUAACACAUGCAAGUCGAACGGAAAGGCCCUGCUUUUGUGGGGUGCUCGAGUGGCGAACGGGGGAGUAACACGUGAGUAACCUGCCCUUGACUUUGGGAUAACUUCAGGAAACUGGGGUGAAUACCGGAUAGGAGCUCCUGCUGCAUGGGGGGGGUGGGAAAGUUUCGGCGGUUGGGGAUGGACUCGCGGCUUAUCAGUUUGUUGGUGGGGUAGUGGCUUACCAAGGCUUUGACGGGUAGCCGGCCUGAGAGGGUGACCGGCCACAUUGGGACUGAGAUACGGCCCAGACUCCUACGGGGGGCAGCGGUGGGGAAUAUUGCACAAUGGGCGGAAGCCUGAUGCAGCAACGCCGCGUGCGGGAUGACGGCCUUCGGGUUGUAAACCGCUUUCGCCUGUGACGAAGCGUGAGUGACGGUAAUGGGUAAAGAAGCACCGGCUAACUACGUG